Molecule: ribosomal RNA, 648 nt
Filed under: uncultured Enterobacteriaceae bacterium
Lineage: Bacteria; Pseudomonadati; Pseudomonadota; Gammaproteobacteria; Enterobacterales; Enterobacteriaceae
Description: bacterial SSU rRNA
Rfam family: Bacterial small subunit ribosomal RNA
Source: RNAcentral
AACGCGAUAAAUCGACCGCCUGGGGAGUACGGCCGCAAGGUUAAAACUCAAAUGAAUUGACGGGGGCCCGCACAAGCGGUGGAGCAUGUGGUUUAAUUCGAUGCAACGCGAAGAACCUUACCUGGUCUUGACAUCCAUAGAAUUCUGCAGAGAUGUGGGAGUGCCUUCGGGAACUAUGAGACAGGUGCUGCAUGGCUGUCGUCAGCUCGUGUUGUGAAAUGUUGGGUUAAGUCCCGCAACGAGCGCAACCCUUAUUCUUUGUUGCCAGCGAUUUGGUCGGGAACUCAAAGGAGACUGCCGUUGAUAAAGCGGAGGAAGGUGGGGACGACGUCAAGUCAUCGUGGCCCUUACGACCAGGGCUACACACAUGCUACAAUGGCGUAUACAAAGGGAAGCGAAGGUGCGAGCUGGAGCGGAUCUCAUAAAGUACGUCUAAGUUCGGAUUGGAGUCUGCAACUCGACUCCAUGAAGUCGGAAUCGCUAGUAAUCGUAGAUCAGAAUGCUACGGUGAAUACGUUCCCGGGCCUUGUACACACCGCCCGUCACACCAUGGGAGUGGGUUGCACCAGAAGUAGAUAGCUUAACCGCGAGGGGGGCGUUUACCACGGUGUGAUUCAUGACUGGGGUGAAGUCGUAACAAGGUAACCA